Molecule: ribosomal RNA, 489 nt
Filed under: uncultured bacterium
Lineage: Bacteria
Description: partial 16S ribosomal RNA
Rfam family: Bacterial small subunit ribosomal RNA
Source: RNAcentral
GAUGAACGCUGGCGGCGUGCUUAACACAUGCAAGUCGAACGGUGAAGCUCCAGCUUGCUGGAGUGGAUCAGUGGCGAACGGGUGAGUAACACGUGAGCAACCUGCCCCUGACUCUGGGAUAACAGCCGGAAACGGCUGCUAAUACCGGAUAUGCACCAUGAACGCAUGUUCUGUGGUGGGAAAGAUUUUUCGGUUGGGGAUGGGCUCGCGGCCUAUCAGCUUGUUGGUGAGGUAAUGGCUCACCAAGGCGUCGACGGGUAGCCGGCCUGAGAGGGUGACCGGCCACACUGGGACUGAGACACGGCCAAGACGCCUACGGGAGGCAGCAGUAGGGAAUCUUCCGCAAUGGGCGAAAGCCUGACGGAGCAACGCCGCGUGAGUGAUGAAGGUCUUCGGAUCGUAAAACUCUGUUAUUAGGGAAGAACAUAUGUGUAAGUAACUGUGCACAUCUUGACGGUACCUAAUCAGAAAGCCACGGCUAACUACGUG